Molecule: long non-coding RNA, 1077 nt
Filed under: Homo sapiens (human)
Lineage: Eukaryota; Metazoa; Chordata; Mammalia; Primates; Hominidae
Description: HSALNT0341538
Source: RNAcentral
AGGCCUCAGUGCCUCGCGGAAAGCAGGCGGGCGGGCGGAAAACGCGGAGCAACCUCUUCCCCCUCUCCCCGCUCCAUCUCCUUCCCUUCCCAGGCCGCAGCUGUCCUUUGUGGGGCGUCCAGGGUUCGCCCACAUCCACCUCCGCGCUGGGCACCUGGUGGUGCUUACAUCGCGUUUGGUGAAACGCAUCCUCCAGCCAUGCUAUGCUUGCAAAGAUGUCUCUGGUCAUUGGGAAGGACGGCAGCUUGGGAAGGAGGAUGUCCGUGAAUGUCAUCAGUGAGCCGGCGCCUGUCCCCCUCUACCCUGGAGCUGAAGGCAGCUUCUACACAAACCCUCCUGGGGCCUGCUCCGUGACUCAGUUUCCCUGUCAUGUGCUGCUGCUGCUUUUUUUUCUCUUUCAUUAGGGCUUCCCCUCCACCCUCCCUGCAGGGUCACUGGGCUGGUGCCCUGGGCAGGGAGGAACACCAGCAUGUGGCCUCAGACCUCAGAGUCCUUUCUGCUCGCUCAUUGACCUGUUUGCAACUCUGGACUCACAGCCGACGUUGCAAACUGAGGUUCCUGGAGUAAUUCUAACCCUUUGGGAAUCGCCCCACCCCCAGACUGUGAGCACACCAAGGGCAUGAUCCAUCUGUCCAGGCCACCCUUGUGUGCCACUGGAUGCAUGAAGGAAUGUUGACAUCAGCCUAAGGUCCUGCGUCAGCUCCCAGUAGCCUGAUGUCAGGACCUCAAAUGCAGGCUGAGAAGAGAACAUAGGAGAUGGGCCUUUUAUAAGGCCAACCAGAAGGUCAGAAGACUUGGGCUCCAGCCGGAUGCGGCGACUCACACCUGUAAUCCCAGUACUUUGGGAGGUCGAGGUGAGAGGAUCACUCGAGGCCUGGAGUUUGAGACCAGCCUAGGCAACACAGUGAGACCCCAUCUCUAAAAAAAUUAAAAAAUUAGCUGAGUGUGAUGGUGCAUGCCUGCAGUACCCGCUAUUCAGGAGGGUGAGGUGGGAGGAUUGCUUGAGCCCAGGAGGUCAAGGCUGCAAUGAGCUAUGAUCACACUCCAGACUGGGCAACAGAGAGAGACCUUGUCUCA